RNAcentral lists this ribosomal RNA (1402 nucleotides) under marine metagenome. Its description in RNAcentral is "bacterial LSU rRNA". It matches the Rfam family "Bacterial large subunit ribosomal RNA", at positions 571 to 1999 of the family's 2925-position model. The record is from RNAcentral.
CAGUUGGAGGGCCCUUGCGGCCUGACAGCGUACCUUUUGUAUAAUGGGUCAUCGACUUAGUGUAUCUAGCAAGCUUAAGCCGUUAGGUGUAGGCGCAGCGAAAGCGAGUCUUAAUAGGGCGAUUGAGUUAGAUGCAUUAGACCCGAAACCGAGUGAUCUAGGCAUGACCAGGUUGAAGGUUGGGUAACACCAACUGGAGGACCGAACCCACAUCUGUUGAAAAAGAUCGGGAUGAGUUGUGCCUAGGGGUGAAAGGCCAAUCAAACUCGGAGAUAGCUGGUUCUCCGCGAAAUCUAUUUAGGUAGAGCGUCAUCCGAAUACCCCGGGGGGUAGAGCACUGGAUGGGUAAUGGGGCCCCACAGGCUUACUGAUCCUAACCAAACUCCGAAUACCCGGGAGUAAUAGAUGGCAGACACACUGCGGGUGCUAACGCCCGUAGUGAAAAGGGAAACAACCCUGACCGACAGUUAAGGCCCCUAAUUCAUGGCUAAGUGGGAAAGCAGGUGGGACGACCAAAACAACCAGGAGGUUGGCUUAGAAGCAGCCAUCCUUUAAAGAAAGCGUAACAGCUCACUGGUCUAAUUAAGUUGUCCUGCGGCGAAGAUGUAACGGGGCUCAAGCCAUGAGCCGAAACUUCGGAUGCAUUUAAUGCAUGGUAGCGGAGCGUAGUGUGACAUAGUUCCAUGCGUCCUUCGUUUUAUAGCGGACUGCCCAGGCUUUCGAGCCUGUGUGGAGGCGCGUAAAAUACUGGACGCAAGGAGCUUUCUGUGAAGCCGGCCUGUGAGGGAUCCGGUGGAGAGAUCACUAGUGAGAAUGAUGACAUGAGUAACGACAAAGGGGGUGAGAGACCCCCUCGCCGAAAAUCCAAGGGUUCCUGCUUAAAGCUAAUCUGAGCAGGGUAAGCCGGCCCCUAAGCCGAGGGCGAAAGCCGUAGGCGAUGGGAACCAGGUUAAUAUUCCUGGGCCAGGAGGAAGUGACGGAUCACAAAGAUUGUUGGAUCAGGCGUAGUUGCCCCAGCAGUUCAGUGGUUCCUGGAAAUAGCCCUCCAUCAGACCGUACCCUAAACCGACACAGGUGGAUAGGUAGAGUAUACCAAGGCGCUUGAGAGAACUAUGUUGAAGGAACUCGGCAAAAUACCUCCGUAAGUUCGCGAGAAGGAGGCCCGGUUUCUAGGCAACUGGAAGCUGGGGGCACAAACCAGGGGGUGGCGACUGUUUACUAAAAACACAGGGCUCUGCGAAGUCGCAAGACGACGUAUAGGGUCUGACGCCUGCCCGGUGCCUGAAGGUUAAAAGGAGGGGUGAGAGCUCCGAAUUGAAGCCCAGGUAAACGGCGGCCGUAACUAUAACGGUCCUAAGGUAGCGAAAUUCCUUGUCGGGUAAGUUCCGACCUGCACGAAUGG